RNAcentral lists this long non-coding RNA (3155 nucleotides) under Homo sapiens (human). Its description in RNAcentral is "HSALNT0399299". The record is from RNAcentral. Lineage: Eukaryota; Metazoa; Chordata; Mammalia; Primates; Hominidae.
AUAGCUAUUCCAUAGCUGCACAAACAGAAACACAUUCCACAGUGACCUCUUUUAAGGAGUGGACUAAACUCCUGGCUACCUUACCUUGGAACCUCUGUCUUGUGGGUAAAAGGGGGAUUUUAGCCUUUUAGUGAUUACCAUAUUGAAUAUACAAGUCCAGGAAUCUUAAUUUAUUUUUUAAAUAACAAUAAUGUCUUUAGCAAAGAUGUUGUAGCAGAAAUGGCAUGAAGUGCUCACUGGUUCUAUUUGUUUCUAAGAGGACUCAAAUCCCUAUCCCUAAAGCAUCAGCAAAAACUUGCUGUGGCUUCCUAGGGACAGACAGGGAGGAUGAGAGGAUGAGCUGCUCAUACCUUCAGGAAGGCAACGGGGAAGUUGGACUCUGUCUCUCCUCCUCACCGCCCCCUCCCCCCGCCCCCUGCCGCCUCAUGCAGGCAUACACACACACACACACACACACACACACACACACACACACACACUACCUUUUUUUAAAAAAAAUUUAUUUGAUUUUAAGUUCCAGGAUACAGGUGCAGGACGUACAGGUUUGUUAUGUAGGUAAACGUGUGCCAUGGUGGUUUGUUGCACUUAUCAACCCAUCACCUAGGUAUUAAGCCCCACAUGCAUUAGCUAUUUAAGCUGAUGCUCUCCCUCCCCUCCAAUCCCUUGGACAGGCCCCAGUGUGUGUUGUUCCCCUCCCUGUGUCCAUGUGUUCUCAUUGUUCAGCUCCCACUUACAAGUGAGAACAUGUGCACACCACAUCAUUUCUUGGAAGCAGAGGUAUCAAAGGCAAGAAUUUGGCCACAAAGGUUUGUUCUGCUGGUGAAAGCAGCCUGAAAGGAGACUGGCAACUCAUGCUGCCUGUUAAUGAUGAAAUGUGUCCAUAGCAUUUAUCAAGACCCCAUUGUGCUUUCACACCAGUCUCCCCAAAGUGGUGUAUGACUGUGAUAGAGAACAACAGUUGCCUCUCAAUAACCAUUCUUCCCUUUUUCCUUAGUAACAGAGCUCUUUCAUUUCAGCACAUUGAUGGCCAGAAUAAAGGCUGCUUUCCUAGCCCCUCCCUACAACCCUUGUUCUAGAGUUUGCAUUUGGCUCAAUUCUGGCCAAUGGAUUAUAAGCAGACAUGUUGCUGGGACUUCUGGGAAAUCUAAAAGGGGAUUUAGUAGAUAUUUCCUCUUCCCUUUCUUUCCCUGCUGCCUGGAAUGUAGAUGUGAUAACAAGCGCUCCUGCAGCCACCUUGGACCACAAAAUCAAAGGCCACACCCCAGAACCAAAAGCUGGAAGGAGCUUGGGCUUCUGAUAAUUUUGUAGCACCAAAAUCACAGCACUCAACCUUGGGACUUCUUUUACAUAAGACAGAAACAGACAGAGUCAUCAUGGCAGUGGCCGGGGCCCCGGAUGGCAUGGAGGAACCUGGCAUGGACACAGAGGCCGGGAUGUGUCCUGGAUGUGUUAGAAAAUCCCCAUAGAUGUGUAGAAGAUAAAUAGAAAUUCCAGGACCCUGAAGACUGCACAGGAGGCAAUGACAAAAGGGUGUGGAAGUGAGAAGGCACCAGAAAUAAACUUGGCCAACCUGGCUUUUUGCCAAUGGCUAAUCCUACCUGUGGCCAACAUGGCCAGGAUCAUAUAAGCUCACAUUGCCAGCUUCACAGGCACCUUUUCUGACAUGUACAGAGUAGGCUGCCCCAUUAGGGAGAGACACCAAUAUGUUCCGAGGGUGCGUGCCUCAGCAACCCCAUGCACUGCUACCCACCUCACUAAAAUAGCUGGAAGAAGACUCACCAGCUGCCCAUCAGGAAGGGCAUCUAAGGAUGUCAUUUCCCAUGCCUAAGGUUGCAACAGCUGCUGCAUGAGGUUCAAAGUUCUCAGAGCCUAGAGGCCACUGGGGGAGGUUUCUUCAGUGAAAACCAGUGGCAGAAGCAAUGGGCAUGUCCAAAGUACUGCCAUGCUGUCCUGCAUGUCCAGCAGUUCAGUGUGUGGGCUCUGGACUCAGCUUGAACCUUGAUUCCACUUCUUAUCAGCUGUCAGACGCUGGGGCUAUAACCUAAGUCCUAACUUCCUAGUAUGAGGUAAGAGUGGAGCACACAAUAACCAAAGGAAAUAUAAUACAAGCUACCAAUGCAGCUAAAUUACAGACGUAAUUUUAAAUUUUGUAGUAACCACAUUUACAAAGUAAAACGAGGCCAGUUGCAGGGGCUCAAGCUUGUAAUCCCAUAGCUAUGGGAGGCUGAGGUGAGAGGGGGUGGGGAGGGAGGAUCACUUGAGGCCAGGAGUUCAAAACCAGCCUAAGCAAUAUGGCAAAAGCUUGUCUCUACAAGCCUUAAAAAUUAGCCAGGCAUGGUGGCACACGCCUGUAGUCCCAGCUAUUCAAGAGGCUGAGUGGAAGGAUCACCUGAGCCCAGGAGGUCAAGGCUGCAGUGAGCCAUGAUCGCACCACUGCACUCCAGCCUAGGCAGAAAGUGAGACCCCAUCUCAAAAGAAGAAAUUAUUAUAUAAAAUAAAAAGUAAAAAGAAACAGGUAAAUUUAGCUUAUAUAAUUUUAACACAUUAUAUCUGAAAUAUCACUGCAACCAAUAUUAUCAUUGCAAUCAAUAUUAAAAAUUAUUAGUGAGAUAUUUUACAUUCUUUAUUCUGUCUACUGUCUUCAAAAUUAUUGAUGUAUUUUAUGCUCAUAGCAUAUCUCAGCUCCAACUGGCCAAAUUUCAAGUACUCAGCAACAACAUGCAACUGGUGGCUACCAUACUGGACAAUAGGGGCAGAUGCUGUCAAUUCCCUUUACAUGUACUGGCCACUAGCAGCUUCUUACUGUAAUAACCUUUGACUCUGCCUUGGCACUUCCUCUCAGCUGAACACACAGCAGACCAGAAGUGCUGAGGAAGAAAUGCCCCAAGGAACAGCCCUCAAUCAAUGAAGAUUUGCAGUUGGCAGAUUAACAUCCUACUCCCUGACUCCUUAGAUGGAGCAGGACUUCAAUUAAAUUUUAAUUGAAAUUAAUUUGAUGUGAUUCAACUUGUCUUUUACUUUUUUUUUUUUUUUUUUUUGAGAUGGAGUCUCACUCUGUCACCCAGGCUGGAGUGCAGUGGUGUGAUCUCGGCUCACUGCAACCUCCAACUCCCGGGUUCAAGUGAUCCACCUGCCUCGGCCUCCCAAAGUGCUGG